This is a non-coding RNA of Coccidioides posadasii str. Silveira, 100 nucleotides long. NCBI's taxonomy places the organism in Eukaryota, Fungi, Ascomycota, Eurotiomycetes, Onygenales, Onygenaceae. The record is from Rfam.
CCCCAUCGCAUGAUGAAAUAUUACGGAUGUAAAUCACAGACCUGUUCCGAAGCGCAAUACGAUGUGGAUAUUUUCCGUUGCCUUCCUUCUGACCUAACGU